RNAcentral lists this small RNA (288 nucleotides) under Talaromyces stipitatus ATCC 10500. RNAcentral describes it as "5' ureB small RNA". It matches the Rfam family "5' ureB small RNA". The record is from Rfam by way of RNAcentral. Lineage: Eukaryota; Fungi; Ascomycota; Eurotiomycetes; Eurotiales; Trichocomaceae.
CUUCAUUAAUCUGCUGAGGACAAAUAAAGUGAAUAUGCGUAUCGAAUCCGCCAGCAGUCACAAUCUUGCCCUCAGCAGCAAUAACAUCCGUUGACGAUCCCACAACAAGAUCCGGAUGAACACCAUCCAUGACAUCAGGGUUGCCGGCUUUGCCAAUUCCAACAAUCAUUCCAUCCUUGAUACCGAUAUCUGCUUUGUAAAUACCCGUCCAAUCAAUGAUCAAAGCAUUGGUGACGACUGUAUCCACACAUUUUUCGUAGACUUCCAGAAGACUGCCCAUGCCUCACG